Anguilla anguilla (European eel) is the source of this 308-nucleotide long non-coding RNA. RefSeq lists it as uncharacterized. The record is from RefSeq and is a predicted model, not a curated record. NCBI's taxonomy places the organism in Eukaryota, Metazoa, Chordata, Actinopteri, Anguilliformes, Anguillidae. The transcript has 3 exons.
GAAAACAAAAACCCCAGUCUGGAUUUGGACAGGUAUAGUGGUAGAGACAGCGCACAGCGGCGCUCUCUUGAUUUUUCAUUGUCUUUGAACUGCUUCACACUCUAAAGUACAUUUGUUUUUCUCGCAGAUGCAGCCGGGUAGAAAUUCCUGAGAGGAAAUGAAAACAUGAGGAGAUAUCCACUGUAUUCCGUGCAGCAUACAACCCCCCGCGGUGUGAAGAUGGAGAUCAGGGUUCAGAUCCCGUUAAGGAGAGAAAUCAGCUGGGUUCCGCUCAAUCUCCAUGCUCUGGCCACACACCUACACUGUGG